Sinocyclocheilus anshuiensis is the source of this 3367-nucleotide RNA transcript. It is a transcript of the gene named poly(rC)-binding protein 4-like, with no coding region annotated. The record is from RefSeq and is a predicted model, not a curated record. Lineage: Eukaryota; Metazoa; Chordata; Actinopteri; Cypriniformes; Cyprinidae. The transcript has 15 exons.
GUUUUCUCUCUUACAGUAAGCGCCUGACACUGACAAUGUGGACAUCAGCGAGGAAUAUAUAGUGUAGGCUAUCAUCAAAAUUCGCAUCGUGUUAUCAGCGCAUUCAACUUCAUUAUUACCAGAGUGGUGAGUGGAAGGAGAGAGUCCUGCCUUCCCCCCUCCCUUCCCAUUCCAUCAUCCGUAGAGCAUCUUUCAUGCGUCUCCCUGGGCCCCAAUCCCACGUCAGAAUGAAUUGUGAGCAGGAUUUUGGAGAUGGAGGCAUGAACGUCACUCUAACUCUCCGGCUGCUCAUGCACGGCAAGGAGGUCGGCAGCAUCAUAGGCAAGAAAGGAGAGACUGUGAAAAGGAUACGAGAGGAGAGCAGUGCACGUAUCAAUAUCUCAGAAGGCUCGUGCCCAGAGAGAAUCAUCACCAUCACGGGCGCCACAGAGUGUGUGUUAAGAGCCUUCACUAUGAUCACAAUCAAACUGGAGGAGGACUUGGCUGCUCUUGUGGCGAACGGCACAGUCACCAGUAAGCCUCCAGUCACGCUGCGACUGGUCAUCCCGGCCAGCCAGUGCGGUUCCCUCAUAGGCAAGGGCGGCUCCAAAAUCAAAGAGAUCAGAGAGAAAACAGGGGCUCAGGUACAGGUGGCAGGAGAUCUGCUCCCUAACUCCACAGAGAGAGGUGUGACGAUAUCUGGGAGCCAGGACGCUAUCAUCCAGUGUGUCAAGCUCAUCUGCACUGUAAUACUAGAGUCUCCUCCAAAGGGUGCUACAAUUCCAUACCGCCCCACUCCAGCUCCAGGCGCAGUGCUUCUUGCUGGAAAUCAGGUUUUCGAAACAUCAGAGUUUGCGUCUCACCCGCUUUUCUCAGUGACUCAGGGAGGGCUGGAUCUGCAGCAAGCUUAUACUGUACAAAACCAAUACGGCAUUCCACACUCAGAGUUGGCCAAGUUGCACCAGUUGUCCAUGCAGCAGGGUCUUGCCCCCUUAGCUCAACCCACAGCCACCCAAGUUCUGUCUGGCAUCGAGUCCAGUUCCCAGACAGCAUCACAAGAACUUCUCAUUCCAAAUGACCUGAUUGGUUCAAUAAUCGGCAGACAGGGUACAAAAAUCAACGAGAUUCGCCAGGUGUCAGGAGCUCAGAUCAAGAUCGGCAGUCAAAUGGACAGCACUAGUGACCGACAUGUCACCAUCACAGGCUCUCCAAUCAGCAUCAACUUGGCCCAGUAUCUAAUCACAUCCUGUUUAGAGACCGCCAAAUCCACUGCCCAGUCCUCCUCCAUGUCGACCCCUGUAGACCUCAACAUGAGCUUCACCCAGACUGCUCCCCCUGCAUCGUCCUCUGCCGCAGCCCUGGCAGCGAUGGGCGGCCUGCCCCACGCUCCAAUCUUGGGCGCCCCCUAUACCCUUCCCCUCUCCAGCCUCCUGGGAAUCAAAUCCGUCCCCUUCCUGGCACUCUCGGCCCCUGCUGCCCCUGCCCACAGCACCUUGGCCUCCUACACCGCCAAGAUCUCCUCCGCCAAUGGCAUCAAGAAACCAGAGAGGCAGAAGUUUGCGCCCUACUGAAGAGGAACUACCGAGUACCUCCUUUGUUUCCGAGAAAACGACCGGAGAGGAAUACUUUAAGGUUCUUCUCUUCUAGCCUGAUGUAGCGGUGUAUAUUUUGGUUUAAUAGCUUGUCCUGAAAAACUGUAGGAAAAUAAUCGCAUAAAUUUGAAAAAGGUUUUUUUUUGGGGGGGGGGCGAGGUAGCCGCUAAAGCCAUAGACUAUUCCUAAUCUCCUAUUUUCCCGAAAUCUUUACACGUUUAUUGUCUGCUCUUAUUUAUUGAUAACGAAAUAUUCCCGCAAAGAGUUUAUAACGUAGAACACUGUUGACUGAUGCUAAUCUCUUAUGUAUCAGUUUUUAUACAAUGAUGUCUGUGAAUGCUUCUGUAUACAACUUCCUGAUUUUUUAGAAAUCUUUAAAUGAUGUAUUAAAACAAAAUAUGAAAAAAAGGAAAUGUUUUUAAAAUGACAACAGAUCUAAGCAUUGUUUUUGCGUUACAUUUUUACGUUUUGUUCACAUUCGUUUUGAAAUGUUAUUUAUUUUAUUUAUUGUGCGGAGUGUUUCUUUUACAGUUACUGUUGGUUUUCUGUAACGGCUGCAGGAAAAAAAAUAUCUUUUCAAAUCUCUUCCAUUCAAUCAUGGUUACAAACGUCCUGAAAAAUACACGUCUAAGUAACCACAAACAAGAUAGCGGUUUAAGUAGUGAGUUUCUUUACUUUCUAUGGGAAGUGUAUAGUGCCACGGUGAAUUCUGGCGUGAUUAAAUAUCCAAAAUAUGAAACCGCUAGCAAAUUCAUUUCAAAACUUUGGCUAGCUAUGGCUGAGUAUGGACAAUAUUGUUUCAGGGGGUUUCUUUCACCAUUUCUAAUGGCAUAAAAUGACUACUAUGCAUGGUGACUGCCCUUGUCGGAAACUAAUGCUGUAUGUUGACUUGGCCCCUCACACGUACACACUAGCAAAUAUAGCUAAUGCGUAGGUCUCUUUGUUGAUGGUGAUAAAAACAGGCAGUGUUGCAGAAGAGCAAUAUUGGUUUGAAAAUGCUAAAGUACACAUAUAGCAAGACCUACACAUAAACAUGCUUCAAGUGUAGCUACAGUAACCAUUAUGCUCGAUCACGGAGUAUAUUACGUGGACUGACUUCUUUUUUUUUUUUUUUUAAUAUAGAAAUAAUCACACUUAUUUUUCUAAACCUAGAGUCCUAAAAAUUGAAUGUGACCACUCACACGAUUCACUCACUUGGUAGAUGUAGUGUAACCUUGACUCGUGUUUGUCAUUUUUUUCUUUAUCGUAAUGUUUUUGUUUUGUCUUGUUUAGAUUUUCUCAAACGUCUUUCCCAUACUCAUUUGCAUGAAUUUAACUUGGCGUCUAUGCAAAACAUUUCGGGGGCGGUUCAGCAAGGUAUCUUAUGUCAUGCUUCAUAGAUGGCCCUAAAUAAACCACCGUUGGGAAAGGGCUAUCAGCAAAGGCGGAACCCAAGACAAGGACAAUGAUGCUCUCGCAAUUUAUGAACCAUGCUAUGUAUAAUAUAUAUACAUAAAUAUAUAUAUGUUAUAUUAUAUCCAUAUUUCCCAUUCCAAAGCCUAACACAUAACCACCCUUUCACACAUUAUAUGAAACGACACAGUGUGGCUAUGACACGCACUGUCACACUUCACCGCGAUAAUUCCACGAUAGCCGGACAUGGUUCGAAAACUGUUCAGAUGCUUGAAUUAUCCGAGGUCUGGUUUUUGGAUUCACAUGAGGUUUCGUUUGUCAGCCUUGGCAUAAAUGCAACUCUUGUUUUAGUCUUAUUCAUCAAUGCCAUACAAAGGAAUAAAAACAAUACUGUAUUAACGUAA